This 3490-nucleotide ribosomal RNA is filed under the name Candidatus Bathyarchaeota archaeon. RNAcentral's name for it is "23S ribosomal RNA". It matches the Rfam family "Archaeal large subunit ribosomal RNA". Lineage: Archaea; Thermoproteati; Candidatus Bathyarchaeota. The record is from RNAcentral.
AGACCCGGCACGCUAAGCCGUCUAGUGGAUGGCUUGGCUUGGGCGCCGAAGAAGGGCGUGGCAAGCUGCGAUAAGCCCCGGGGAGGCGCAUGCAGCCUUAGAUCCGGGGAUUCCCGAAUAGGACCUCCUACCGUGAGUUAAUAGCUCAUGGUGCCCCCCUCGUAAGAGGGGGGUGGGAACCCUCUGAACGGAAACAUCCAAGUAGGAGGAGGAAAAGAAACCAUCACGGGAUUCCCUGAGUACCGGCGAGGGAAAGGGGAGGAGCUCAAACCAAACCCCUAGGGCUGACAAACCCUUCGGGGAUGUGGUGUAGAGGUUCAGCCGAAUAUGCCCAUCGUCUGGAGAAGUCGAAGUGGCCUGGAACGGCCUACCAUAGAGGGUGAUAGUCCCGUAGACGUCAUCCAGACUAGUGGGUUGGCUGAACCGGAGUACCGCACCUUGGUAUUGGUGUGGGAAUCUGGGUGGAAUCAGCAUCCAAAGCUAAAUACGUCCCAAGACCGAUAGCGUACUAGUACGGUGACGGAAAGCUGAAAAGCACCCCGGAAGGGGGGUGAAAAGAGCCUGAAACUAGACGGCGAUAUCCGUGCGGAGCCUGAAAGGGUAGAUCCACCUCAAAGGAAGCCGCGGCAACGCGGUUGUACGAGAAGUGGGGACCAGGGUUCCGCAUUCCGUUUCGAACCACGGGCCGGGGAGUUCACCUUCACGGCGAGCUUAAGAGCUUAUAAGCUCGUAGGCGUAGGGAAACCGACUCAUCCGCAGUUGAACCCUUCAGUUCGACGAGGGAUGGGGGUCUGAAAGGGCCUUUAGUCGUGGGGGUGAUAACCAGAAACCGGGCGAUCUAGUCCUGGGCAGGGCGAAGCCAGGCGAAAGCUUGGUGGAGGCUCGAAGGGGUGUUGACGUGCAAUUCACUCCUCUGACCUGGGACUAGGGGCCAAAAGCCAAUCUAGCCCGGUGAUAGCUGGUUCCUCCCGAAAUGGGUCGCAGCCCAUCCUCAGGUGAGGUCGCCUAGGGGGUAGAGCACCGAUAGGGUGGCAAGGGUCCGAAAGGGCCCACCAUCCUUUCGAACUCCGAAUCUCUAGGCUCCAAAGACCCUGGGAGACGGGUCUCAGGGGGUAAGCUCCUGAACCGAGAGGGGAACAACCCGGACGAGGGUUAAGGCCCCUAAAUGCUGGCUAAGUGUUAACGCGAAUGGAGUCCUUAGCCUGAGACAGCUGGGAGGUAGGCUUAGAAGCAGCCAUCCUCUAAGCAACGCGUAACAGCGGACCAGCCGAGGCUAAGGGCCCAGAAAAUGGACGGGGCUAAGCCAGCUGCCGAUACCCUCGGGGACAGUGUACAUGCACUGGCCUGGUAGGGAGGCGUCGCAAUCGGGUAGAAGCCGAGCCGUAAGGUUCGGUGGACUGGUUGCGAGUGCAGAUCCCGGUGGUAGUAGCAGCAAAGAGAGGUGAGAAUCCUCUCCGCCGCAGGGGCCAGGUUUCUCCGGCAAUGUUCGUCAGCCGGAGGUUAGUCGGUCCUAAGGCAGCCCUUAACCGGUCACUGCCGAAAGGGAAACCGGUUUAUAUUCCGGUACCGCAGAGGUACGUGCGGCGACGCAAGCCUCCAAUCCAACUCCUCCAGGUAGGCUGAGUGGGGCUGCCGCUCCACUUAACUGUCGAAGCCUGGGGAAUGCCGUAAAGGCGAGAACCAGGUGAAGAUAGGAAUAGCCUCUCGAAAGAGGGGUUCAGCUGAUCCUGGGGGACAUGGAAAAGGAUUAGAGGAAGGAUCCUCUGCGACCGUACCUAGAACCGACACAGGUGCCCCUGGGUGAGAAGCCUAAGGCGUGUCGGGUCAACGCGGGUGAGGGAAUUCGGCAAAUUAGCCCCGUAACUUCGGGAAAAGGGGUGCCUAUGGUUCUAGCCUUAAGGCUGGAACUGUAGGUCGCAGUGACAAGGAGGCCCCGACUGUUUAAUAAACGGGUAGAGACGCCAGAUGAAAUGAAUGUGAGUAAGAUCUUAAAUAGACUACUUCCAUAAGAAUAAGGAGAAUAGGUUAUGGGUGAACAAAAAUAAAAACGCUUAGUGAUAAUGAAGUGAAGUAUUUUAUUGCAGGCUUAUUUGAUGCCGAAGGUACUAAGACCAAUAGGCUAGUUAUUUAUAAUAAAAAUCUUAAACUUUUGAAGGAGAUAAAAAGAUGACUUAACAAUUUUGAUGCUCAUUCUAAAAUUUAUAAAUUUGGUUCAAUUUACGGAUUACAAGUCCACGGGAGAGCUUUCAUGGAAGUUUUCCUCAAGAUCAUACCAUCCUAUAAAUUGAUGGCGUCCUCGCCCGGUUAAAAAACAUAGGUAGCCGCAAGCCUGAAAAGGUGUGUACGGCUGCUGAAUCCUGGCCAGUGGCGGUACCUAAAACCCGGGUUCAACUGGGCUAAGGGCCGCUAAACGCCGGGAGUAACUCUGACUCUCUCAACGGAGUCGCUUCGUCGUCAAAUGAAAGUCGAGGCUCUCCGGGAGAAAGGUAGCCAAAUGCCUUGUCGGAUGAUAUCCGACGUGCAUGAAUGGAUCAACGAGGGCCUCGCUGUCCCCACCCGGGACCCGGCGAACCUACCUGGUGGUGAAAAGUCCACCAUCCCUCAGCGGGGCGAGAAGUCCCUGUGGAGCUUUACUGCAGCUUGUUGUUGAGGUAUGGUUGUGGAUGCGUAGGGUAGGUGGGAGCCGUUGAACUGGCUCUUUCGGGAGCUGGGGAGGCGUCGAUGAAACACCACUCUUCCGCGACCGUACCCCUAACCUGGGUGCUAAGCCUGGGGACAGCAGCAGGUGGGCAGUUUGCCUGGGAUGGCGCCCCCUUGAAAAGGUAUCGAGGGGGCCCUAAGGCCAGCUCAGGUAGGUUGGAAACCUACCGUAGAGGGCAAGGCUAAAAGCUGGCCUGACUGGAUUCUUCAAAGCAAGGGAUCCAGGGGUGAAAGCCGGGCCUAGCGAUCCUCCAUGUCCCUACUGAUGGGGGCUGGAGGUGACAGAAAAGUUACCCCAGGAAUAAUUGGCUUGUCGCGGGCGAGAGUUCACAUCGACCUCGCGGCUUGGUACGCCGUCGUCGUCCCUUCCCAUCCUGGCGGUGCAUAAGCCGCCAAGGGUGAGUCUGCUCGCCUAUUAAAGGGGAAUGCGAGAUGGGUUUAGACCGUCGUGAGACAGGUCGGACUCUACCUGCUGGGGGUGUUGGCCGCCUGAGGGGAUCACGUCCUCAGUACGAAAGGAACGGGGCGUGGCGGCCUCUGGUGAACCAGCUGUCCGGUAGGGCAAGCUGGGCAGCUACGCCGCCGGGGAUAAGGGCUGAAGGCAUCUAAGCCCGAAGCUCCUCCCGAAAAUAGGCGGCCAAUCCUAGGCGCAGAAACCUGGCGACAGGUUUCAUGCCUAGGACGAAGGCUGGGGUGGAACACCCCGUUGAUGGGGUGGAGGUGUAAGCCGGAAGAUCUUCGGAUCGACUGGUUCAGCCUGCCACUCCCAAUCGCCUGAGGUGCUGGGUUG